CCAAAAUAAAAGCAAAUAAAAUAUCCUAGCCCAAUUACUAAACCAGCCCAAACAUUAAACCCUCAGCCCAAAUUUUAACCCUAAGCCCAAAUGGCCCACAAAUUAUGCCAACUUUCAGCUAAGGGAAAACCCUAGGUGCGCCGCACCUAGGUCUUUAGCCUCCAACGCCGCGAGUCAGCACCACCACCGCCACUGCUCGCCUGUCGUUGGCCCUUCACGCGCGUCAGACUACCUGCAAGAGAGAGCCACACGCAAACAAAAAACAAAAAAAGAAAGUCGAAACAA
RNAcentral lists this long non-coding RNA (285 nucleotides) under Gossypium raimondii (Peruvian cotton). Its description in RNAcentral is "long non-coding RNA (GRAI_LNC002061)". Lineage: Eukaryota; Viridiplantae; Streptophyta; Magnoliopsida; Malvales; Malvaceae. The record is from RNAcentral.